RNAcentral lists this small RNA (131 nucleotides) under Dehalococcoidia bacterium. Its description in RNAcentral is "c-di-AMP sequence". It matches the Rfam family "c-di-AMP riboswitch aptamer (ydaO/yuaA leader)". Rfam says of the family: This family represents a conserved RNA structure found upstream of the ydaO and yuaA genes in Bacillus subtilis and related genes in other bacteria. The ydaO/yuaA element is thought to act as a genetic "off" switch for the ydaO and yuaA genes in its native state. Lineage: Bacteria; Bacillati; Chloroflexota; Dehalococcoidia. The record is from RNAcentral.
AAGAUCCAGUCGCCAAAUCCCUCUUCGGGGGGAGCGGGCAGACCGAACUGGUCGGUGAAUCUCGCUUCGGCGGGUAGGGCAAGCCUUUCAGCCCGAACCGGUAGCUAAGCCCGCAGGCGUAGAAAGGCCUC